AGCAGCCGCCGCGGGAAUACGAAGGGUGCAAGCGUUACUCGGAAUUACUGGGCGUAAAGCGUGCGUAGGUGGUGGUUUAAGUCCGUUGUGAAAGCCCUGGGCUCAACCUGGGAAUUGCAGUGGAUACUGGGUCACUAGAGUGUGGUAGAGGAUAGUGGAAUUUCCGGUGUAGCAGUGAAAUGCGUAGAGAUCGGAAGGAACAUCUGUGGCGAAGGCGACUAUCUGGGCCAACACUGACACUGAGGCACGAAAGCGUGGGGAGCAAACAGGAUUAGAUACCCCGGUAGUCCUGUCUCUUAUACC
This 303-nucleotide ribosomal RNA is filed under the name uncultured bacterium. Its description in RNAcentral is "partial 16S ribosomal RNA". It matches the Rfam family "Bacterial small subunit ribosomal RNA", at positions 507 to 808 of the family's 1533-position model. The record is from RNAcentral.